This 253-nucleotide ribosomal RNA is filed under the name uncultured bacterium. RNAcentral describes it as "partial 16S ribosomal RNA". It matches the Rfam family "Bacterial small subunit ribosomal RNA", at positions 524 to 776 of the family's 1533-position model. The record is from RNAcentral.
UACGGGGGGUGCAAACGUUGUUCGGAAUCACUGGGCGUAAAGAGCGCGUAGGCGGUCGGGUAAGUGGGGUGUGAAAUCCACCGGCUCAACCGGUGAACUGCACUUCAUACUGUCCGACUUGAGGGCAGCAGAGGAGAGGGGAAUUCUCGGUGUAGCGGUGAAAUGCGUAGAUAUCGAGAGGAACACCAGUGGCGAAGGCGCUUCUCUGGGCUGCUCCUGACGCUGAGGCGCGAAAGCUAGGGGAGCGAACAGG